AGAACGAACGCUGGCGGCAUGCCUAAUACAUGCAAGUCGAACGAACUCUUCGGAGUUAGUGGCGCACGGGUGCGUAACGCGUGGGAAUCUGCCCCUUGGUUCGGAAUAACAGUUGGAAACGACUGCUAAUACCGGAUGAUGACGAAAGUCCAAAGAUUUAUCGCCAAGGGAUGAGCCCGCGUAGGAUUAGCUAGUUGGUGAGGUAAAGGCUCACCAAGGCAACGAUCCUUAGCUGGUCUGAGAGGAUGAUCAGCCACACUGGGACUGAGACACGGCCCAGACUCCUACGGGAGGCAGCAGUAGGGAAUAUUGGACAAGUGGGCGAAAGCCUGAUCCAGCAAUGCCGCGUGACGUGAUGAA
This 360-nucleotide ribosomal RNA is filed under the name uncultured soil bacterium. Its description in RNAcentral is "bacterial SSU rRNA". It matches the Rfam family "Bacterial small subunit ribosomal RNA", at positions 26 to 412 of the family's 1533-position model. The record is from RNAcentral.